This 253-nucleotide ribosomal RNA is filed under the name uncultured prokaryote. RNAcentral describes it as "partial 16S ribosomal RNA". It matches the Rfam family "Bacterial small subunit ribosomal RNA", at positions 524 to 776 of the family's 1533-position model. The record is from RNAcentral.
UACAGAGGGUGCAAGCGUUAAUCGGAGUUACUGGGCGUAAAGGGCGCGUAGGCGGUGCGGUACGGUUUCGGUGAAAUCCCUCGGCCCAACCGAGGAACAGCCGGAGCUACGGCCGGACUAGACGGCAUCAGGGGACAGUGGAACUCCCGGUGGAGCGGUGAAAUGCGUAGAUAUCGGGAGGAACGCCGGUGGCGAAAGCGACUGUCUGGGGUGCCUGUGACGCUGAGGCGCGAAAGCCAGGGGAUCAAACGGG